Molecule: ribosomal RNA, 604 nt
Filed under: uncultured bacterium
Lineage: Bacteria
Description: bacterial SSU rRNA
Rfam family: Bacterial small subunit ribosomal RNA
Source: RNAcentral
CAUGCAAGUCGAGCGAUGAAACUACUUCGCGUGUGAAUUAGCGGCGAACGGGCCCCUUAACACGUGAGGAAUCUGCCUUCUACACUGGGAUAACUCCGGGAAACCGGGGCUAAUACCGGAUAUGAAACUUGGUGGCAUCACCGAGUUUGGAAAGUUUUUCGGUAGAAGAUGACCUCGCGGCCUAUCAGCUUGUUGGUGAGGUAAUGGCUCACCAAGGCGACGACUAGUAGCCGGCCUGAGAGGGCGACCGGCCACACUGGGACUGAGACACGGCCCACACUCCUACGGGAGGCAGCAGUGGGGAAUAUUGGGCAAUGGAGGAAACUCUGACCCAGCGACGCCGCGUGCGGGAUGAAGGCCUUCGGGUUGUAAACCGCUUUCAGUAGGGAAGAAGCGAAAGUGACGGUACCUACAGAAGAAGCACCGGCUAACUAUGUGCCAGCAGCCGCGGUAAUACAUACGGUGCAAGCGUUGUCCGGAAUUAUUGGGCGUAAAGAGCUCGUAGGUGGUUCGUUACGUCGGAUGUGAAAAUCUGGGGUUCAACCCCAGACCUGCCUCCGAUACGGGCGAGCUAUAGUUUGGCAAGGGAAACUGGAAUUCCUGG